CACAGAAAGGAAAAUAAUCACUGCCUGGGCCAGCCCCGUGCUCCCUGAGCCAUCGCUUCUGAUGCAGCCUCCGCGGUCAUAGGCCAUGCCAAGCCAGGAGACCGAUGCCACGUUGUGCUAACACCCCACCACAGGGGAUACAGGUGAUGGGGGCAGACGGAGCUCUCGCUCCAGACACACACUGAACAAUCUGCAGAACAAACUCCCACCCCCACCCCUUGCCAGGAGCAUCCCCCGGCGCUCCCACCCACCCGCUUGGCACAGCUAGGGAAGAAGGUGCAAAUGAACAAAGCCCAGAGACUCUCUCCACAUCUCCCUUCCCCCAGCCCCUGUAAUUAAAGCUCUGCUUUCAAUCAUUAAUGUA
Long non-coding RNA from Caretta caretta (loggerhead turtle), 364 nucleotides. RefSeq lists it as uncharacterized. Lineage: Eukaryota; Metazoa; Chordata; Testudines; Cheloniidae. The record is from RefSeq and is a predicted model, not a curated record.